RNAcentral lists this ribosomal RNA (941 nucleotides) under Bacteroides hominis. RNAcentral's name for it is "bacterial SSU rRNA". It matches the Rfam family "Bacterial small subunit ribosomal RNA", at positions 580 to 1533 of the family's 1533-position model. Lineage: Bacteria; Pseudomonadati; Bacteroidota; Bacteroidia; Bacteroidales; Bacteroidaceae. The record is from RNAcentral.
CUGGUAAGUCAGUUGUGAAAGUUUGCGGCUCAACCGUAAAAUUGCAGUUGAUACUGUCAGUCUUGAGUACAGUAGAGGUGGGCGGAAUUCGUGGUGUAGCGGUGAAAUGCUUAGAUAUCACGAAGAACUCCGAUUGCGAAGGCAGCUCACUGGACUGCAACUGACACUGAUGCUCGAAAGUGUGGGUAUCAAACAGGAUUAGAUACCCUGGUAGUCCACACAGUAAACGAUGAAUACUCGCUGUUUGCGAUAUACGGUAAGCGGCCAAGCGAAAGCAUUAAGUAUUCCACCUGGGGAGUACGCCGGCAACGGUGAAACUCAAAGGAAUUGACGGGGGCCCGCACAAGCGGAGGAACAUGUGGUUUAAUUCGAUGAUACGCGAGGAACCUUACCCGGGCUUAAAUUGCAGUGGAAUGAUGUGGAAACAUGUCAGUGAGCAAUCACCGCUGUGAAGGUGCUGCAUGGUUGUCGUCAGCUCGUGCCGUGAGGUGUCGGCUUAAGUGCCAUAACGAGCGCAACCCUUAUCUUCAGUUACUAACAGGUCAUGCUGAGGACUCUGGAGAGACUGCCGUCGUAAGAUGUGAGGAAGGUGGGGAUGACGUCAAAUCAGCACGGCCCUUACGUCCGGGGCUACACACGUGUUACAAUGGGGGGUACAGAAGGCAGCUACCUGGUGACAGGAUGCUAAUCCCAAAAGCCUCUCUCAGUUCGGAUCGAAGUCUGCAACCCGACUUCGUGAAGCUGGAUUCGCUAGUAAUCGCGCAUCAGCCACGGCGCGGUGAAUACGUUCCCGGGCCUUGUACACACCGCCCGUCAAGCCAUGGGAGCCGGGGGUACCUGAAGUACGUAACCGCAAGGAGCGUCCUAGGGUAAAACUGGUGACUGGGGCUAAGUCGUAACAAGGUAGCCGUACCGGAAGGUGCGGCUGGAACACCUCCUUU